AAGCUGCUAUCUAAAGCACUUAUCUCAUUCUUAUCACUGAAAUAUUAUAUCCCUUAUCUAAAUUACCCGUAUCACUUGAAAUUGUAUCACCAUGAAAUUAUUAGCGCUGUGCAGAAGUUUUCAUUAUCCGUAUAUAAAUCGCGACGUGAUUUUAACAUAAUGUGUUUUGUUUUAUUAUAUCCAUUGCUAUAUUAAUGCGUUGAAGAAAAUUUCUUAAUAAAUUAUGGAAACCUUUGUAUAUCCUUGAUUAUAAAUGAAAGAAAGAAAAAUUUGUUAGAAUUUCAAAGAAAAGAAUUACAAUAUUAUUUUUAAUGAAUAUUUGAUGAAAUUACGAAUCAGCAUAUCGGUGUUAUAUACAGUACACGAUAUGUAAUUUGGUUGACGUAAAUGAAGAUUUAUUAGAAGCACGUAAAAGCAUCGUAUACAAUGAGCAAGGUGUGGCAGAAAGUGUAAAAUCAAGCGCAACAAGCAAAAUGAAAGGACCACGAAACUUCAGACUACGAAAGAACAAAUUUACCAGAAGAAAACAAUUUUUUAUUUGAACGGAGCUGUGGAUAGAAACGUGGAAGCAAAUAAGCCUGUAGCGCUUUCGCGAUUAUACUGGAAGCUAUGCAACGUCGAGCACAAUUCCGAUUGAGCGUAGAGGAUCGAAAGCACUCAAAGCAGGAAAUAUAGACACCAAACGUUAAGCUCUUUACGGAGAAGAACAUCAAAUGAACACAUAAAAAAAAAUAAAAUAAAAUAAAAACAAGUAUUUUGAAGAGUUAUUUUACUACGACUACCUUGACAAUUUUUGUUUAUCAUUAAAAUAAGGAAAAAUAAAAUAACGUAUCCUUUGAUAUUUCAUAACUU
Long non-coding RNA from Osmia lignaria (orchard mason bee), 852 nucleotides. RefSeq lists it as uncharacterized. NCBI's taxonomy places the organism in Eukaryota, Metazoa, Arthropoda, Insecta, Hymenoptera, Megachilidae. The record is from RefSeq and is a predicted model, not a curated record.